This 284-nucleotide long non-coding RNA is filed under the name Physcomitrium patens. Its description in RNAcentral is "long non-coding RNA (PPAT_LNC008260)". The record is from RNAcentral. Lineage: Eukaryota; Viridiplantae; Streptophyta; Bryopsida; Funariales; Funariaceae.
AAGAGAAACCGUAAUCCCUAAUAAGGCCUCGGGCAACCUCUUUGAAGCCCAUUAGGCAUGGCCUUCAAUCAAUAGGAAUGAAGUUUUCCAUUCUUUGCCUUCAUCCAAUCAUACCUUACUUUCAUCCCUUCCAAUAAGCUUCAUAUUAGUUAAGAUUUUCUUCUUCAAGCUCCCAUCUUCUCUUAAGCUUUAUACUAAAUAUCUAAAUCUUAUAUAAUAUAAAUAUUUUAAUCAAAAUAGAUAAAUCUCUAAAUAAAUUUCCUUAUAUCAAUUCCCUUUAAAUU